This 103-nucleotide transfer RNA is filed under the name Coniochaeta pulveracea. It matches the Rfam family "tRNA". Rfam says of the family: Transfer RNA (tRNA) molecules are approximately 80 nucleotides in length. Their secondary structure includes four short double-helical elements and three loops (D, anti-codon, and T loops). Lineage: Eukaryota; Fungi; Ascomycota; Sordariomycetes; Coniochaetales; Coniochaetaceae. The record is from Rfam by way of RNAcentral.
GGUCCCAUAGCUCAGUUGGUUAGAGCGUCGUACUAAUACCUCCUCACCUUGAAGAGAUAUCAAGUAAAUGCGAAGGCCGAGAGUUCAAGCCUCUCUGGGACCA